AUGCGUGAUGGGUUGCUGCUCAUCCGCGAUGUUGAGGGACCAAAGGGGACCGGAAGUGUGGAGACGAGGCUCAAAGCAAUGGAGCAACAAGUUUUCAAGUGCCAGGGGAUGGUAGAACGUGGACUCAAUUCCAACCACAUGAUGAUCGCGGAGUUCACCAACAACCACAAGAUGGAUGCCCAGAACAUUGGGGAUACCAUCUUCAAGCUUCACGAGAAGAUCGAGCACCUCCAAGCCCAAAUCUAUGACUUGCAGAACCAAAACUGUGAGUAUGAGUAUAGAUUCAAGAGGAUGAGUUUGGUUGUAGAUUUGAGGAUCCCGGAGACUCGAUCAUCCUUCUAUGAUGGUGAACCUAGGCCUUGGAAGAUGGCCGACAAGCCCACAUCAUCAACAACUCCACCACCUUCUUCUUCAACAAAGGAGACAUAA
RNAcentral lists this ribosomal RNA (429 nucleotides) under Triticum aestivum (bread wheat). RNAcentral's name for it is "partial small subunit ribosomal RNA". Lineage: Eukaryota; Viridiplantae; Streptophyta; Magnoliopsida; Poales; Poaceae. The record is from RNAcentral.